UACGUAGGGACCAAGCGUUGUUCGGAUUUACUGGGCGUAAAGGGCGCGUAGGCGGCAUGACAAGUCACUUGUGAAAUCUUCGGGCUUAACCCGGAACGGCCAAGUGAUACUGUCGCGCUAGAGUGCGGAAGGGGCAAUCGGAAUUCUCGGUGUAGCGGUGAAAUGCGUAGAUAUCGAGAGGAACACCUGAGGUGAAGACGGGUUGCUGGGCCGACACUGACGCUGAGUGCGCGAAAGCCAGGGGAGCAAACGGG
Molecule: ribosomal RNA, 254 nt
Filed under: uncultured bacterium
Lineage: Bacteria
Description: partial 16S ribosomal RNA
Rfam family: Bacterial small subunit ribosomal RNA
Source: RNAcentral